CAUGCAAGUCGGACGGCAGCACAGAGAAGCUUGCUUCUUGGGUGGCGAGUGGCGAACGGGUGAGUAAUAUAUCGGAACGUACCGAGUAAUGGGGGAUAACUAAUCGAAAGAUUAGCUAAUACCGCAUAUUCUCUGAGGAGGAAAGCAGGGGACCUUCGGGCCUUGCGUUAUUCGAGCGGCCGAUAUCUGAUUAGCUAGUUGGUGGGGUAAAGGCCUACCAAGGCGACGAUCAGUAGCGGGUCUGAGAGGAUGAUCCGCCACACUGGGACUGAGACACGGCCCAGACUCCUACGGGAGGCAGCAGUGGGGAAUUUUGGACAAUGGGCGCAAGCCUGAUCCAGCCAUGCCGCGUGUCUGAAGAAGGCCUUCGGGUUGUAAAGGACUUUUGUCAGGGAAGAAAAGGCUGUUGCUAAUAUCAAUAGCUGAUGACGGUACCUGAAGAAUAAGCACCGGCUAACUACGUGCCAGCAGCCGCGGUAAUACGUAGGGUGCGAGCGUUAAUCGGAAUUACCGGGCGUAAAGCGAGCGCAGACGGUUACUUAAGCAGGAUGUGAAAUCCCCGGGCUCAACCUGGGAACUGCGUUCUGAACUGGGUGACUAGAGUGUGUCAGAGGGAGGUAGAAUUCCACGUGUAGCAGUGAAAUGCGUAGAGAUGUGGAGGAAUACCGAUGGCGAAGGCAGCCUCCUGGGAUAACACUGACGUUCAUGCUCGAAAGCGUGGGUAGCAAACAGGAUUA
This 737-nucleotide ribosomal RNA is filed under the name uncultured Neisseria sp. Its description in RNAcentral is "bacterial SSU rRNA". It matches the Rfam family "Bacterial small subunit ribosomal RNA", at positions 54 to 780 of the family's 1533-position model. The record is from RNAcentral. Lineage: Bacteria; Pseudomonadati; Pseudomonadota; Betaproteobacteria; Neisseriales; Neisseriaceae.